GUGGCUCCCAAGUUCUACCUCUAAUAUGCUCAUAAUCAUCCUCACAUUCUGAAUCUGUUCUGCGAGCAGAGACCAGAGCUAGCAGAACUAUUGCAAGCAGUAGAGAGAGUGCCUGAUCAGAAGAAACAGUUGGAAAUAAUUAAUAUAGUGAUGUAUCCGUGGCUCCUAGAAUGAUUCAUAUAGAAAAUACAAAUCAAAAGUUAUUUACAC
This 210-nucleotide unclassified non-coding RNA is filed under the name Hevea brasiliensis (rubber tree). The record is from RNAcentral. Lineage: Eukaryota; Viridiplantae; Streptophyta; Magnoliopsida; Malpighiales; Euphorbiaceae.